This 564-nucleotide ribosomal RNA is filed under the name uncultured bacterium. RNAcentral describes it as "partial 16S ribosomal RNA". It matches the Rfam family "Bacterial small subunit ribosomal RNA", at positions 355 to 1375 of the family's 1533-position model. The record is from RNAcentral.
UGGGGAAUAUUGGACAAUGGGCGCAAGCCUGAUCCAGCCAUGCCGCGUGAGUGAUGAAGGCCUUAGGGUUGUAAAGCUCUUUCGCCGGUGAAGAUAAUGACGGUAACCGGAGAAGAAGCCCCGGCUAACUUCGUGCCAGCAGCCGCGGUAAUACGAAGGGGGCUAGCGUUGCUCGGAAUCACUGGGCGUAAAGCGCACGUAGGCGGAUCGUUAAGUCAGGGGUGAAAUCCUGGAGCUCAACUCCAGAACUGCCCUUGAUACUGGCGAUCUCGAGUUCGAGAGAGGUUGGUGGAACUCCGAGUGUAGAGGUGAAAUUCGUAGAUAUUCGGAAGAAACACCAGUGGCGAAGGCGGCCAACUGGCUCGAUACUGACGCUGAGGUGCGAAAGCGUGGGGAGCAAAACAGGAUUAGAUACCCUGGUAGUCCACGCCGUAAAACGAUGGAUGCUAGCCGUUGGGGGGUUUACCUCUCAGUGGCGCAGCUAACGCCUUAAGCAUCCCGCCUGGGGAGUACGGUCGCAAGAUUAAAAACUCAAAGGAAUUGACGGGGUCAUAGCUGUUUCCU